CAGUAGCCACGGGAAUACAGAGGGUGCGAGCGUUAAUCGGAUUUACUGGGCGUAAAGCGUGCGUAGGCGGCUUCUUAAGUCGGAUGUGAAAUCCCUGAGCUUAACUUAGGAAUUGCAUUCGAUACUGGGAAGCUAGAGUAUGGGAGAGGAUGGUAGAAUUCCAGGUGUAGCGGUGAAAUGCGUAGAGAUCUGGAGGAAUACCGGUGGCGAAGGCGGCCCCCUGGACAAAGACUGACGCUCAGGUGCGAAAGCGUGGGGAGCAAACAGGAUUAGAUACCCCAGUAGUCCCUGUCUCUUAUCC
This 301-nucleotide ribosomal RNA is filed under the name uncultured bacterium. Its description in RNAcentral is "partial 16S ribosomal RNA". It matches the Rfam family "Bacterial small subunit ribosomal RNA", at positions 509 to 809 of the family's 1533-position model. The record is from RNAcentral.